AGUGAACGUUGGCGGCGUGGAUUAGGCAUGCAAGUCGAGCGAGAACCGUAGCAAUACGGGGACAGCGGCGAAAGGGACAGUAAUGUGUAGGUACCUACCUCCGGGUUCGGGAUAGUUGCGGGAAACUGCAGGUAAUACCGAAUAACGUCUCCGGACCAAGGGUGUGAUUCCACCUGGAGAGGGGCCUGCAUCCUAUUAGCUUGUUGGCGGGGUAACGGCCCACCAAGGCGACGAUGGGUAGCGGGUGUGAGAGCACGACCCGCGUCAUUGGGACUGAGACACUGCCCAGACACCUACGGGUGGCUGCAGUCGUGAAUCUUCGGCAAUGGGCGCAAGCCUGACCGAGCGACGCCGCGUGCGGGAUGAAGGCCUUCGGGUUGUAAACCGCUGUCGUAGAGGAAGAAAUGCAGGGGGGUUCUCCCCUCUGUUUGACCUAUUCUAGGAGGAAGUACGGGCUAAGUUCGUGCCAGCAGCCGCCGUAA
RNAcentral lists this ribosomal RNA (482 nucleotides) under uncultured bacterium. RNAcentral describes it as "partial 16S ribosomal RNA". It matches the Rfam family "Bacterial small subunit ribosomal RNA", at positions 28 to 523 of the family's 1533-position model. The record is from RNAcentral.